This 68-nucleotide transfer RNA is filed under the name Marmota monax (woodchuck). RNAcentral describes it as "tRNA.Ser". Lineage: Eukaryota; Metazoa; Chordata; Mammalia; Rodentia; Sciuridae. The record is from RNAcentral.
GCUGUGGCUCAGUGGCAGAGUGCUUGCCUAGAAUGUGUGAGGCACUGGGUUCAAUUCUCAGCACUGCA